AGAACGAACGCUGGCGGCAUGCCUAAUACAUGCAAGUCGAACGAACACUUCGGUGUUAGUGGCGCGCGGGUGCGUAACGCGUGGGAAUCUGCCCUUGGGUUCGGAAUAACAGUUGGAAACGACUGCUAAUACCGGAUGAUGACGAAAGUCCAAAGAUUUAUCGCCCAGGGAUGAGCCCGCGUAGGAUUAGCUAGUUGGUGAGGUAAAGGCUCACCAAGGCGACGAUCCUUAGCUGGUCUGAGAGGAUGAUCAGCCACACUGGGACUGAGACACGGCCCAGACUCCUACGGGAGGCAGCAGUAGGGAAUAUUGGACAAGUGGGCGCAAGCCUGAUCCAGCAAUGCCG
RNAcentral lists this ribosomal RNA (346 nucleotides) under uncultured soil bacterium. RNAcentral's name for it is "bacterial SSU rRNA". It matches the Rfam family "Bacterial small subunit ribosomal RNA", at positions 26 to 399 of the family's 1533-position model. The record is from RNAcentral.